Molecule: regulatory RNA element, 107 nt
Rfam family: TPP riboswitch aptamer (THI element)
About the family: Vitamin B(1) in its active form thiamin pyrophosphate (TPP) is an essential coenzyme that is synthesised by coupling of pyrimidine and thiazole moieties in bacteria. The previously detected thiamin-regulatory element, thi box was extended, resulting in a new, highly conserved RNA secondary structure, the THI element, which is widely distributed in eubacteria and also occurs in some archaea.
Source: Rfam
CCUUGGUCCGAGGGGUGUUCCGGUUAACGGAACUGAGAUGGCUUUGAGCCGAACCCUUAGAACCUGAUCCGGGUCAUGCCGGCGAAGGGACGGAAUCCUUAGCCUAU